CACGUAAGGUGCUAGCGUUGUUCGGAAUUAUUGGGCGUAAAGGGCAUGUAGGCGGCGCGAUAAGUCAGACGUGAAAUCCCGGGGCUCAACCCCGGAACUGCGUUUGAUACUGUUGCGCUUGAGUCAGCGAGGCGGAACCGGAAUUCCUGGUGUAGGGGUGAAAUCUGUAGAUAUCAGGAAGAACACCGGUGGCGAAGGCAGGUUCCGAGCGCAUGACUGACGCUGAGGUGCGAAGGUGCGGGGAG
This 245-nucleotide ribosomal RNA is filed under the name uncultured Spirochaetaceae bacterium. RNAcentral describes it as "partial 16S ribosomal RNA". It matches the Rfam family "Bacterial small subunit ribosomal RNA", at positions 524 to 768 of the family's 1533-position model. The record is from RNAcentral. Lineage: Bacteria; Pseudomonadati; Spirochaetota; Spirochaetia; Spirochaetales; Spirochaetaceae.